RNAcentral lists this ribosomal RNA (450 nucleotides) under uncultured bacterium. Its description in RNAcentral is "partial 16S ribosomal RNA". It matches the Rfam family "Bacterial small subunit ribosomal RNA", at positions 354 to 796 of the family's 1533-position model. The record is from RNAcentral.
GCUAAGAAUAUUCCGCAAUGGACGAAAGUCUGACGGAGCGACGCCGCGUGGAUGAAGAAGGCCGAAAGGUUGUAAAGUUCUUUUGUUGGGGAAGAAUAACCAUGGGAGGGAAUGCCCGUGGGAUGACAUGAACCGACGAAUAAGCCCCGGCUAACUACGUGCCAGCAGCCGCGGUAACACGUAGGGGGCGAGCGUUGUUCGGAAUUACUGGGCGUAAAGGGCAUGUAGGCGGUCUUGUAAGCUUGGCGUGAAAGACUACGGUCCAACCGUGGGAUUGCGUUGAGAACUGCGAGGCUUGAGUGACGGAGAGGGAGCUAGAAUUCCUGGUGUAGGGGUGGAAUCUGUAGAGAUCAGGAAGAAUACCAAUGGCGAAGGCAAGCUCCUGGCCGAUGACUGACGCUGAGGUGCGAAAGUGUGGGGAUCAAACAGGAUUAGAAACCCCAGUAGUCC